Long non-coding RNA from Aphis gossypii (cotton aphid), 1872 nucleotides. RefSeq lists it as uncharacterized. The transcript is spliced from 3 exons. NCBI's taxonomy places the organism in Eukaryota, Metazoa, Arthropoda, Insecta, Hemiptera, Aphididae. The record is from RefSeq and is a predicted model, not a curated record.
CGCAGUCCCGCUACCAAAAAUUACGUGCCCGAGAUAUUCCUAUUUGGAAUACUCGCAGGGGUCAACCGUCCCGGUGUGCAAUGGGACGGUCUCGUCCUAGAGGAACCGCCUCGGUGAUCACGGUUGACCUCGACACCAAGUAAGUAUGCCGAGUGCCGUUGCGUUCGCGUUUAAGUAACGCGACCGGCCCGCCGCGCCGGUGUAGAACCGCCACGCGGACGCGCUCCGACCAGCGACCGCUCGGGUCCGCCGGACGUCCCGACACGUCCAAAACCCAUCGCUAUCGGUCCGACGGAAGCUGUGCCGCGGUCGCAGAUGGUUCGCGUCGAGGUCGCGGUCCACGGACCGCAGACUCGCGGCCCAAAGAGAUCGGAGCCAGACGGAUUGCGAUAACACCGCCAUCUAGUGGCGGCGGAUUCGCGUUCGGUCGGGUAUCGAGUACCAGACGCGGCCGCGAGUGUCUCGUAAAUCGCGCGCGGCACGUCCGAGUUUGCGUCGCAAAGUCCGCAACCCGACGUUGUUAUGCGCGACACAUUCCAAUAAACGGCCGUACGGGCCGGGAUCAUGCCGAAUAGUAUGGACCACGACAUAGAUAAGGAAGUCUUUCCUUUGUCUAUGGACCACGAAAAGGUGUGGGUUAAGGGGAUUACACGAGACACGCGUUUCGACGAUGUCCGGCGGUAGCGCGAGCACCGUCCUCUAAAUUUAUCACCCGUCGUUGCAGCGUUUCCUGAAAUGUAGCUAGACUCGGGUUUAAAACUUGCCAAAAUAUUUAACGUUGGCGAGUCACGAUAUUUAAAAGUAUUGGUCUGGUGAACUUUUGGCGAUACCGUUGAACAGAGCCAUUGCCGUUGGCCGUUCUACGCGAAGCGGUUAUAAUGGCGCGUGUCGACAAUAGUAUAAACAAAAACAUUUUUAAACGUUUCAAAAAAAAAAAAAAAAAAUCGUGUACAGACGUCUCGAGUGUUUGAAAACAAGCUGUUAUUGAUAUUUACAGAACGAUUUGAGUGAUGAGCCUAAUUAAACAGAAACAUCGGCAAAUUAUUUUCCAACAACAAUUCCUGUCUAAUAAUAUUAUGUAAAAUAGUCAAUAUGUUGCAGUGUAGUACCAUGAAAAAUACCAAUACGUCAUAGUUCUAAUAUCCCAAGGUGUGUAAGAUGGAGAAAACAUAUGCGGGUGAGACGUCCUUUUAAUGUAAGCUAAAAUUGAAUAAUUAACAUGUUAUGAAUAUUAAAUUUGAUGGUUAAGCACACACAUGAUGUUCACAUAAGUGAAUUAACCUAUUUAUUAAAUUAAUAGGAAAGAAUUUAAUCUAGAAAAGGUUUUUUUUUUACAUAAUUUUAAAAUGUUUAAAACUUGUUUAAAAAUUAUACCCUUUCAAGAUACCCUAUAUAGUGUUCUUGUUUUUGCUUUAAAACUAAUACAAUAUGUAAAAACCUUUUUAUAAUACACAGGAAAUUUUGUUUAUAAGAUAAAUAAAAAUAAAUUACAACAUUUAAAAAAAAAUGAAAAUUUGAGAGAAUGAGCGAUAUUAAUUGGAAAUUUGAGUUUGAGAUAACAUUCUUAACUACAAAUUUGAUAAUUUGGUCAUUUAUACUAAUAUUAAUAACAGCUAAACAAUUUCUUAUGAAUGUAAUAUUUUCUAUGGUAUGUCAGUAAAAUCUUUACACAAUAGGUACAUGUAAGUAAUGUUCUAUUAAAUGUUUAUAAAAAGUCAAUUUUCUCUGAUAUUUAUAUUUAACAUAAAAUUGGUUCUGCUGAACUCAAAUUUGCUAUGCUGUAUAUAUAAAUAAAAAAUACAACACUUGAUUACAAUAUAGAGAAUAUAAUGACUCAGUACUUUUUCUAUAUUUUCUUAAAUUAUUUAUUUG